CUUUACAGGCAUACCACCCUGAAUGAGCCCCAUCUUUUCUGAUCUCAGAAGCUAAGCAGGGUCAGGCCUGGUUAGUACUUGGAUGGGAGACCUUGGAAUACUGGGUGCUGUAGGCU
Ribosomal RNA from Otolemur garnettii (small-eared galago), 116 nucleotides. NCBI's taxonomy places the organism in Eukaryota, Metazoa, Chordata, Mammalia, Primates, Galagidae. The record is from Ensembl.